RNAcentral lists this transfer RNA (73 nucleotides) under Loxodonta africana (African savanna elephant). It matches the Rfam family "tRNA". From Rfam's summary of the family: Transfer RNA (tRNA) molecules are approximately 80 nucleotides in length. Lineage: Eukaryota; Metazoa; Chordata; Mammalia; Proboscidea; Elephantidae. The record is from Rfam by way of RNAcentral.
UCCUAGGUGGUGAAAAUGGUUAACACACUUGGCUAAUAACCAAGAGGAUGAAGGUUCAAGUCCACUCAAAGAC